ACGAACGCUGGCGGCGUGCCUAAUACAUGCAAGUCGAGCGAAGUUUUUCUGGUGCUUGCACUAGAAAAACUUAGCGGCGAACGGGUGAGUAACACGUAAAGAACCUGCCUCAUAGACUGGGACAACUAUUGGAAACGAUAGCUAAUACCGGAUAACAGUAUUUCUCGCAUGAGAGAUAUUUAAAAGUUGGUUAUGCUAACACUAUGAGAUGGCUUUGCGGUGCAUUAGCUAGUUGGUGGGGUAAAGGCCCACCAAGGCGACGAUGCAUAGCCGACCUGAGAGGGUGAUCGGCCACACCGGGACUGAGACACGGCCCAGACUCCUACGGGAGGCAGCAGUAGGGAAUCUUCCGCAAUGGGCGAAAGCCUGACGGAGCAACGCCGCGUGAGUGAAGAAGGAUUUCGGUUCGUAAAGCUCUGUUGUUAGGGAAGAAUGGAUAUGUAGUAACUAUACAUGUAAGAGACGGUACCUAACCAGAAAGCCACGGCUAACUACGUG
RNAcentral lists this ribosomal RNA (498 nucleotides) under uncultured bacterium. RNAcentral describes it as "partial 16S ribosomal RNA". It matches the Rfam family "Bacterial small subunit ribosomal RNA", at positions 29 to 507 of the family's 1533-position model. The record is from RNAcentral.